UGGUCAAGUUAUUAAGGGUGCAGGGCGGAUGCCUUGGCACUAGGAGCCGAUGAAGGACGUGAUAAGCUGCGAUAAGCUUCGGGGAGUUGCACGUAAACUUUGAUCCGAAGAUUUCCGAAUGAGGAAACUCACUUAGAGUAAUGUCUAAGUAUCAUUAAGUGAAUACAUAGCUUAAUGAGGGGAACUCAGGGAACUGAAACAUCUAAGUACCUGAAGGAAGAGAAAGAAAUUCGAUUCCGUAAGUAGCGGCGAGCGAACGCGGAUUAGCCCAAACCAAUAAAGUUUUCUUUAUUGGGGUUGCGGACAUAUCAUAACGAAGAGGUAUCGUAAUUGAAGAGGUUUGGAAAGACCCACCACAGAAGGUAAUAGUCCUGUAUGUUAAACGAGAAGACUUUAGAUAUGAUCCAGAGUACCACGGGACACGUGAAACCCUGUGGGAAGCAGGAGGGACCACCCUCCAAGGCUAAAUACUACCUAGUGACCGAUAGCGUAUAGUACCGUGAGGGAAAGGUGAAAAGAACCCCGGGAGGGGAGUGAAAUAGAACCUGAAACCCUGCACUUACAAGCUGUGGAAGCACAUUUCUUGUGUGACCGCGUACUUUUUGUAGAACGGGCCAACGAGUUACGUUAAGUAGCAAGGUUAAGCACUUAAGGUGCGGAGCCGUAGCGAAAGCGAGUUUUAACUGAGCGUUCAGUUACUUGACGUAGACCCGAAACCGGGCGACCUACCCAUGAGCAGGAUGAAGCGAAAGUAAAAUUUCGUGGAGGUCCGAACCCACGAGCGUUGAAAAGCUCGGGGAUGACUUGUGGGUAGCGGUGAAAUUCCAAUCGAGCCCGGAGAUAGCUGGUUCUCCCCGAA
This 859-nucleotide ribosomal RNA is filed under the name Clostridioides difficile. RNAcentral's name for it is "bacterial LSU rRNA". It matches the Rfam family "Bacterial large subunit ribosomal RNA", at positions 1 to 863 of the family's 2925-position model. Lineage: Bacteria; Bacillati; Bacillota; Clostridia; Peptostreptococcales; Peptostreptococcaceae. The record is from RNAcentral.